This is a non-coding RNA of Equus caballus (horse), 379 nucleotides long. The record is from RefSeq and is a predicted model, not a curated record. Lineage: Eukaryota; Metazoa; Chordata; Mammalia; Perissodactyla; Equidae.
GGGAAAAGUACUGGGUGCUGUGUGAGCAGGUGGCAGGGAGACUCAACUCAGACUGCAGGGUCUGGAAAGUCUGGCCUGGGCAGCCAGUCAUUAUGGGAGCUGAAGCACGAGUAGGGGUCACCAAGUCGACGUAAGAUGUGAUUGUGGCUUCACCCAAGAUGGCAGUGUGGAAGCAGACAGAAGUGGAUGGCCAUUAGGAGGCCAAAAAAAAAAAAAAAAGGAAAUCUCAACCUGAAGACUUAAUUCUAUCCUGGCAAAGACUAGAUCCGUCCAAGAUGAUUGUUACCACCACCACCUCACUCUGUAGUCUGUAUUCAACCUUGAUUAAAUAAUGGGAAACACUUGGCCAUAAUGAGUUGCCGGCAAUUGUCAACAGCCA